This 450-nucleotide ribosomal RNA is filed under the name uncultured bacterium. RNAcentral's name for it is "bacterial SSU rRNA". It matches the Rfam family "Bacterial small subunit ribosomal RNA", at positions 354 to 796 of the family's 1533-position model. The record is from RNAcentral.
GUGGGGAAUCUUCCGCAAUGGACGAAAGUCUGACGGAGCAACGCCGCGUGAGUGAUGAAGGUCUUCGGAUUGUAAAGCUCUGUUAAUCGGGACGAAAGAGUUCUGUGUGAAUAAUGCAGAAAAGUGACGGUACCGGAAUAGAAAGCCACGGCUAACUACGUGCCAGCAGCCGCGGUAAUACGUAGGUGGCAAGCGUUGUCCGGAAUUAUUGGGCGUAAAGCGCGCGCAGGCGGCCUAUCCAGUCUGUCUUAAAAGUUCGGGGCUCAACCUCGUGAUGGGAUGGAAACUAGUAGGCUAGAGUAUCGGAGAGGAAAGCGGAAUUCCUAGUGUAGCGGUGAAAUGCGUAGAUAUUAGGAAGAACACCAGUGGCGAAGGCGGCUUUCUGGACGAAAACUGACGCUGAGGCGCGAAAGCCAGGGGAGCGAACGGGAUUAGAUACCCGGGUAGUCC